Molecule: long non-coding RNA, 1640 nt
Organism: Syngnathoides biaculeatus (alligator pipefish)
Lineage: Eukaryota; Metazoa; Chordata; Actinopteri; Syngnathiformes; Syngnathidae
Exons: 3
Source: RefSeq, a predicted model, not a curated record
AUAUGAUUGUCUUUUAUGCUUUGUGUAAUGACUGCUGACUUCCUUUCUUCUUUGUCCAUGCGCUUGUGAGCAUGAGCCUUUCAUCUUCUUUUAGAUUUAUAGGCUCAUGAGUUGCGUGUUGGAAUAUCGACUUGUCGAACACCACUCGAUAUUGACGUUUUUAAUCAAAACAGUUGCUAGUUUUGGUUUGCAUUGAUUGGUAGCACCUACCCAAAGGAAGGAGCUGGAAGAACUGGUUCCCAGGAUGUGGAGUGUCCAAUAGGAUCCUACCUGCUCUUCUCCUAGUUUCGGUAACGUGCUAGUCAUCAGGGGUGGGUAGGGUGGUGCCGACAAUCCGUUCAGCAGUUCUGAUUGUCCGUUGCAGUCAGACUUUGUCCAGCCUAGCCCCAGUGGCAGCCCCAAACGAAACUGUGAUGGAGGUACAUAUACAGUACUGAUUCGAUGACCGCUGUGGAGAACUGUCUCAGUCUCAGCAGCUCUUGUGACAGGUCGUGCUUCCGCAGAAGCCGCAGGAUGUACAUCCUAUGGUGGGCUGUUUUGAAGAUAGAGUUGGUGUUUGUCUCCCACUUCAGGUCCUGUGAGACUGUAAUUCCAAGGAACUUGAAGGUCUCGAUGGUUGACACAAGACAGUUGGACAAUAUGAUGGGCUGCUGUGGUUAAAGGAUGUCUCCUAAAGUCCACAAUUAUCUCUACAGUCUUAAAUUUGUUCAGCUCUGGUUUGUGUUGGCCACACCAAAGCGCCAUCCUCUCCACUAUCUGUCGAUAUGUAGACUCGUCACCAUCUUUGAUGAGGCUGAUGACUGUUAUGUCAUCUGCAAACUUGAGGAGUUUGACUGCCAGGUGCACUGAGAUGCAGUCGUUUGUGUAGAGCAAAAAGAGUAGCGGGGAGAGGACACAACCUUGGGGUGGGCCAAUGCUGAUGGUGCGUGGGGAUGAGGUGGUGACCCCCAGCCUCACCUGCUGUAGCCUGCCCAUCAGGAAAUUGUAGAUCCACUGACAGAUGGCAGGCGAGGCGUUGAGCAGGAGAAGAUUGGAGGAAAGGAAUUUGGGAAUGAUGUUGUUGAACCCAGAGCUGAAGUCCACGUACAGGAUUCUUGCAUUUGUUUGCUGUCGAGGUGUUUAAGGAUGAAGAGCAGACCCAUGGUCAUUACAUCAUCUGCUGACCUAUUUGCUUGGUAGGCAAACUACAGUGGGUCCAGCAGGAAACAUGUGAUGCUCUCGAGGUAAGGCGUUCAAAGGACUUCAUGACCACAAUCGUCAAGGCAACAGGCCUGUAGUCAUUCAGACCUGAGAUUGGAGGUUUCUUGGGGAGGUCUGAAUUAGGGUGAUGGUGGAGCAUUUGAAGCAGGUUGGUACUUCAUACAGUUCCAGAGACCUACUGAAGAUUCUGACAUGAACACAUGUAAAGGCUGAAGUUGAGACUCAAACCCAGAACCUCAAAACUGGUCAGAGGGAGCUGGGGCCUGUCCCAGCUGAUUUUGGGCAAAAGGCAGACAACAUCCUGGUCUGCAGAUCGCCAGUUGAUCAUAAGGCACAUGAUGGAACCAAAGGGGCUAAAAUGAUGGGCUGGACUGUCCCGUCCUUCAAAGUCUAUCUUGCAGCUGUGCUCGGGACUCUGCAGGUAAACAUUUGAACUCCAG